GGAGGGGUUCCCGAGUGGCCAAAGGGAGCAGACUGUAAAUCUGCCGGCUCCGCCUUCGAUGGUUCGAAUCCGUCCCGUUUAACCC
This 85-nucleotide transfer RNA is filed under the name Vibrio parahaemolyticus. RNAcentral describes it as "tRNA-Tyr". It matches the Rfam family "tRNA". From Rfam's summary of the family: Transfer RNA (tRNA) molecules are approximately 80 nucleotides in length. Their secondary structure includes four short double-helical elements and three loops (D, anti-codon, and T loops). The record is from RNAcentral. Lineage: Bacteria; Pseudomonadati; Pseudomonadota; Gammaproteobacteria; Vibrionales; Vibrionaceae.